AAUGAACGCUGGCGGUAGGCCUAACACAUGCAAGUCGAACGGCAGCACAGUAAGAGCUUGCUCUUACGGGUGGCGAGUGGCGGACGGGUGAGGAAUACAUCGGAAUCUACUUUUUCGUGGGGGAUAACGUAGGGAAACUUACGCUAAUACCGCAUACGACCUACGGGUGAAAGCAGGGGAUCUUCGGACCUUGCGCGAUUGAAUGAGCCGAUGUCGGAUUAGCUAGUUGGCGGGGUAAAGGCCCACCAAGGCGACGAUCCGUAGCUGGUCUGAGAGGAUGAUCAGCCACACUGGAACUGAGACACGGUCCAGACUCCUACGGGAGGCAGCAGUGGGGAAUAUUGGACAAUGGGCGCAAGCCUGAUCCAGCCAUACCGCGUGGGUGAAGAAGGCCUUCGGGUUGUAAAGCCCUUUUGUUGGGAAAGAAAAGCAGCAGGUUAAUACCCCGCUGUUCUGACGGUACCCAAAGAAUAAGCACCGGCUAACUUCGU
Molecule: ribosomal RNA, 491 nt
Filed under: uncultured bacterium
Lineage: Bacteria
Description: partial 16S ribosomal RNA
Rfam family: Bacterial small subunit ribosomal RNA
Source: RNAcentral